AAAAUGGUCAUCACAAACAAAUUCAGGUUUGGGAGUCGGUUAUGCAAGGGGAAGGUAUUAACACCCCUCACAUUCGUUGUACUAAACGGAAACCAUUUAGUUAGAUUUGCAAAUGGAAUGUUAUAUUUCGCUAUUUGUUUUCUUCUAGUUAUAUAUUUUUUUAUUAUGUUGCCUAACAAGGUUACGAGUCUUUCUCCUACGUAUCCUUAGGUGCGAUGAAGAAUUCAAAGCUACGUAGUUUUGGAUAGAAAAUGAUAUUUUUU
RNAcentral lists this long non-coding RNA (263 nucleotides) under Lathyrus oleraceus (garden pea). Its description in RNAcentral is "Pisum sativum (pea) long non-coding RNA (PSAT_LNC023738)". The record is from RNAcentral. Lineage: Eukaryota; Viridiplantae; Streptophyta; Magnoliopsida; Fabales; Fabaceae.